AUUAGAUACCCUGGGUAGUCCACACAGUAAACGAUGAAUACUCGCUGUUUGCGAUAUACAGUAAGCGGCCAAGCGAAAGCAUUAAGUAUUCCACCUGGGGAGUACGCCGGCAACGGUGAAACUCAAAGGAAUUGACGGGGGCCCGCACAAGCGGAGGAACAUGUGGUUUAAUUCGAUGAUACGCGAGGAACCUUACCCGGGCUCAAACGCACAGUGACUGUCUGUGAAAGCAGAUUUUCCCUUCGGGGACAGUGUGCGAGGUGCUGCAUGGUUGUCGUCAGCUCGUGCCGUGAGGUGUCGGCUUAAGUGCCAUAACGAGCGCAACCCCUAUCGACAGUUGCUAACAGGUGAAGCUGAGGACUCUGUCGAGACUGCCGGCGCAAGCUGUGAGGAAGGCGGGGAUGACGUCAAAUCAGCACGGCCCUUACGUCCGGGGCGACACACGUGUUACAAUGGCAGGUACAGCGGGAAGCCAUGCGGCGACGCAGAGCAGAACCCGAAAACCUGUCUCAGUUCGGAUUGGAGUCUGCAACCCGACUCCAUGAAGCUGGAUUCGCUAGUAAUCGCGCAUCAGCCACGGCGCGGUGAAUACGUUCCCGGGCCUUGUACACACCGCCCGUCAAGCCAUGGAAGCCGGGAGUGCCUGAAGUACGCGACCGCAAGGAGCGUCCUAAGGUAAAACCGGUGACUGGGGCUAAGUCGUAACAAGGUAAC
This 714-nucleotide ribosomal RNA is filed under the name uncultured bacterium. RNAcentral's name for it is "bacterial SSU rRNA". It matches the Rfam family "Bacterial small subunit ribosomal RNA", at positions 777 to 1500 of the family's 1533-position model. The record is from RNAcentral.